UACGAAGGGGGGCUAGCGUUGUUUGGAUUUACUGGGCGUAAAGCGCACGUAGGCGGAUUGGUCAGUUAGAGGUGAAAUCCCGAAGCUCAACUUCGGAACUGCCUUUAAUACUGCCAGUCUAGAGUCCGGAAGAGGUAAGUGGAACUCCUAGUGUAGAGGUGGAAUUCGUAGAUAUUAGGAAGAACACCAGUGGCGAAGGCGGCUUACUGGUCCGGUACUGACGCUGAGGUGCGAAAGCGUGGGGAGCAAACAGG
RNAcentral lists this ribosomal RNA (254 nucleotides) under uncultured bacterium. Its description in RNAcentral is "partial 16S ribosomal RNA". It matches the Rfam family "Bacterial small subunit ribosomal RNA", at positions 524 to 776 of the family's 1533-position model. The record is from RNAcentral.